AGUGGCGCACGGGUGCGUAACGCGUAUGCAAUCUGCCCUUUUCAGGAGGAUAGCCCUUAGAAAUGAGGAUUAAUACUCCAUAGUAUUAUUGAAUUGCAUGAUUUAAUAAUUAAAGCUUUGGCGGAAAAGGAUGAGCAUGCGUCCCGUUAGCUAGUUGGUAAGGUAACGGCUUACCAAGGCGACGAUGGGUAGGGGGCCUGAGAGGGUUAUCCCCCACACUGGUACUGAGACACGGACCGGACUCCUACGGGAGGCAGCAGUGAGGAAUAUUGGUCAAUGGAUGAGAGUCUGAACCAGCCAUGCCGCGUGCAGGAUGACUGCCCUAUGGGUUGUAAACUGCUUCUAUAUAGGAAGAAACCCUUUUACGUGUAGAAGGUUGACGGUACUAUAAGAAUAAGGACCGGCUAACUCCGUGCCAGCAGCCGCGGUAAUACGGAGGGUCCAAGCGUUAUCCGGAUUUAUUGGGUUUAAAGGGUACGUAGGCGGAGCUUUAAGUCAGUAGUGAAAGCCCAUUGCUUAACAAUGGAACUGCUAUUGAUACUGGAGUUCUUGAAUGUAGUUGAAGUAGGCGGAAUACGGCAUGUAGCGGUGAAAUGCAUAGAUAUGCCGUGGAACACCAAUCGCGAAGGCAGCUUACUAAGCUAUAAUUGACGCUGAUGUACGAAAGCGUGGGGAGCGAACAGGAUUAGAUACCCUGGUA
This 700-nucleotide ribosomal RNA is filed under the name uncultured Bacteroidota bacterium. RNAcentral describes it as "bacterial SSU rRNA". It matches the Rfam family "Bacterial small subunit ribosomal RNA", at positions 94 to 792 of the family's 1533-position model. The record is from RNAcentral. Lineage: Bacteria; Pseudomonadati; Bacteroidota.